Molecule: ribosomal RNA, 261 nt
Filed under: Triticum aestivum (bread wheat)
Lineage: Eukaryota; Viridiplantae; Streptophyta; Magnoliopsida; Poales; Poaceae
Description: partial small subunit ribosomal RNA
Source: RNAcentral
AUGGAGACAGAUUGUAUGGAGAUCGUUGAUCUCUGGAACUCGCGCCAUGUUCAUCGAGCUGUGGUGGCGCCUAUCUUGACCGAAAUUGGGGAGCACGCUUCUAGUUUCUCUUUGUUUUUUGUUCAACAUGUUCAUAGGUCAGCAAACUUUUCUGCCCAUCAUUGUGCAAAGCAAGCUAGCACUUUGGAGGUUACAGAUUGUUGGCUAGAUAUCACCCCUAGUUUUCUUGUAACUAGUGAAAGGAUCGAUAUAGUUGACUAG